CAGGGCCCUCCUUCCCCUCCUCUCUCCCCUCCUCCCUCCCCUUCCUCCCCUCUCUUCUUCCCUGUGUGGAUGGCCGCGGCCAGAGUCGGAGCACCAGCAGCGCUGCCCAGAUAAUGCCCCUGACUCUUUGACCAGACCACAAGCCCGCCCUGAAGAUGUGUUCUACAAACCCAGGCGGCUGGGUCACCUUCGACGAUGACCCUGCUUUUCCGUCUUCUCAGAAGGCGAAGGAUUUCCCUCUGGAGACCCAAGGUGUUUGCAGACCAAAUGGACUGAAGCUGAACCUGCCGGGCCUCAGGGACCUUCCUAGUGCUUCCUCCUCCACCAGCAGCACCCCCCUAUCCUCUCCCAUGGUUGACUUUUACUUCAGCCCGGGACCUCCAAGCAAUUCUCCUCUUUCUACACCCACCAAAGACUUCCCGGGCUUCCCCGGCAUGCCUAAAGCAGGGUCUCAUGUGCUUUAUCCUAUUCCAGAAUGUUCUUCAAGCAGCCUCCCGACAACAGCAGCAGGAGCAGGUCCUCCGUUGUCACUCACCAAGCCAAGCAGCUUACCCCAUGCACAACUGCCCAGUGAGCACUCCUGCUCCCAGCUGCCUCCCAGAGCUGGUCUUGAAGAUGACAGCAGCCCUCAGCGGGCCCGCGGGGAGGCACUACAGUUUGAGUCUUUUCGAGAUGACUGUGCGUUUUCCAGCCCAUUUUGGAAAGAUGAAGGUAGCACUUCUCAGUUCCCCUUUGACUCCCUGGCAAGCAGAAAGCUGUUUUCCUCAAGAGACAAGGAAGUUCCCAUGGAUCAAAAAAGCCUUAACCAGUGCUCACUCAACUACAUCUGUGAGAAGCUAGAACACCUGCAGUCGGCCGAGACCCAGGGCCCUCUGGGAAAUGUGUCUAUGAGGAGUCUGAGUGCUGGAGACGUGGCUUCUUCUUUUGUGCCGCACACGCUCUUCCGGAGUCAGCCCAAAGCCGGAUGGUCCUUCAUGCUGAGGAUUCCUGAGAAGAAAAACAUGAUGUCUUCCAGGCAGUGGGGACCCAUUUUCCUAAAGGUUCUGCCAGGAGGGAUUCUGCAAAUGUACUAUGAGGAGGGGCUGGAAAAGCCGUUCAAAGAGUUCCAGCUUGAUCCACAUUGCAGACUUUCUGAACCCAAACUCGAGAACUUCAACAUGGCGGGAAAAAUCCACACCGUGAAGGUGGAACAUGUGUCUUAUUCAGAGAAAAGGAAAUACCAUUCCAAGACGGAGGUGGUUCACGAGCCUGAUGUAGAACAGAUGCUGAAGUUGGGGACCACGGAGCACAGGGAUUUCCUUGAGUUCCUGACUACUGUGGAGGAAGAGCUGAUAAAGCUGCCAGCUGUUGCGAAACCAAAGAAGAACUACGAGGAACAAGAAAUUUACCUGGAUAUUGUGGACAACUUUUGGGGUAGAGUAAGCAAGGAAGAUGGGAAACUGGCUGACAGGGCUGUAAUGACUCAGAUCUCCUGCCUCUGCUUUGUGAACGGGGCGGCAGAAUGCUUCUUAACCUUGAAUGACCUUGAACUCCAGAAACGAGAUGAAUGCUAUUUUGAGAAAGAACCAGAAAAAAGGGGGAUCGAGAUUCUUAACUACCAUUUCCAUGCAUGUGUGAAAGCUGAAGAAUUCAAACAGUCCAGAAUCAUUAAAUUUGUCCCUCUGGAUGCUUGCCGUUUUGAACUGAUGCGGUUUAAAACGUCGUAUGAAGGGGAUGAGCUUCCCUUUUCCGUGAAGUCCACAGUGGCUGUACAGGGGGCUUAUGUGGAACUUCAGGCCUUUGUCAACAUGACCCCGGGGCCUCAGAGGUCACCCCAUGCCAGUUCCUUGAGGUGUUGUGACAAUAUCAUGAUUCACUUUCCUGUCCCAGCCCAAUGGAUCAAGGCCCUCUGGACCAGGAACCUUCAGAGGCAGAAAUCCCUGAAAGCCAAAAUGAACCGUCGGGCAUGUCUGGGGAGUUUACAGGAACCUGAAUCUGAACCUGUCAUUCAGGUCACUGUGGGGUCAGCAAAAUAUGAGAGCGCCUACCGGGCUGUGGUGUGGAAGAUAGAUCGGCUUCCGGACAAAAACUCAAGUCCUGAUCAGCCCCAUUGUCUGUCAUACAAGCUAGAACUUGGAUCAGACCAGGAGAUUCCCUUGGAUUGGUAUCCAUUUGCUACUGUCCAGUUCUCAGUGCCUGAAGCCUCAGCCUCGAGGACAGAGGUGAGGUCUCUGGGAGUGGAGAGUGAUGUCCAGCCUCAGAAGCACACGUGUCUGCGGGCUUGCUACAACAUCCAGGUUGAAAUAGAAAAGAAGUGGAUCCAAAUAGACGGAGAAGACCCAGGUAAAGCCAGUGGCUGUGUGACUCAGUAAACGAUGAUGCCCCCAGCUCAGAUAUGCAACCCAGGCUGGGGCAGGAAGCUCUGCUACAACAUGGUCGGACUGAAUUCUAAGUAGCAUCCUGAUGCCACAGAUCCAGUGGAUUCUGGAGAAACGUACGCCCCAACGCAGGCUGUGUGAAUGUUACUCUUCUGAUAGAUUUUUGCUCUGGGAAUGUGUGCAGGAAUGUGUCCGUGGUCUGUGCCAGUUCCGUCUUCUUGAAAGUUGGUGGAGCUCUUUCUGAUGGGAAACCUGCUGGCCAGUUUGACUGGAGGGUAUUUGGGCUCUCUUCACCCAGUGACUUUGUUUUGUAAUCUGGGUUAAGUGAUUUCCCUGGCUUUUAGUGUAGUGAUUGAAUGAGAAUAGACCCCAUAGACUCAUUUAUUUGUUUAGCACCAGGAAGUGGAACUGUUUGGGAGGAUUAGAAGGAUUGGGAGGUGUGGCCUGAUUGGAGUAAGUGUGAUCUUGUUGGAGGAAGUGUUUCAUUGAGGGGCUGGGCUUUGAGGUUUCAAAAGCCAUGCUAGACCCAGUCUUUCUCUCUCUACCCGUGGAUCAGGAUGUAGCUCUUAGCUAGGGCUCUAGCAUCAUGAGCACCUUCAAGUUCCUACCAUGCUCCUGCCAAGAUGAUAAGGUACUCACCCUUUGAAAACAAGCAAGCUAAUAAGCAGCUCCCCCCAUGGCCUCUGCAUUAGCUCCUGUCUCCAGGUUCCUGCUCUGUGUGAGUUCCUGUCCUGACUUCCUUCAGUGAUGAACAGUGAUAGGGAAGUAUAAGCCAAACAAACCCUUUCCUCCCCACCUUGUUUUUGUCAUGGUGAUUCUUCACAGCAAUAGAAACCCUAGCUUGAACCAUUAGCAUGUGGAUCACCAAGGAAGGCAGCCAAAGGAGACAGAGCCCCAAUUAUGCAAUGUGCUGCAGAUGGGUGUGGAAGGCAGGGGUUGAAAUGGAGAUUUGGAUGUAUCUGUGAUUGUGAAUUAUCUAUGGUCCACUGGGGAGUCAUCUUUGGCUGUGUUUGUUACCUGUCUUUCCCUUGCUGUGGGGUCAUUUUCAAAAUGCCUUUGAAUUCUGAUUUGUGAUCCAAAGAAAUUAUUUCCAUUGAUAUACUUAUUUUGGAAUGAGUCCCUAAAAUACAGUGCUUUUUGGUCCGGGGAGAAUUCCUUUCAAAAUGAGAUCAGAAUCAUUGGACAUAAAUUAAAAUAUUUAUGUUCAUUAAAGGUGAACUUUAAAGUUCAUGAGUAUGGUUUUCUGAAAGUAGCAAUGCUAGGACUAUGUCUAGCCACAGUGUUUCCUGUAAUUAACGCAACCCUCUUGCUAGAAGGCUAAGCCUUGGCUUGAUUCUGUGUGCUGGUGCCAUUCAAAUUCUGUUUUAUUCAAACUCUGCUUCAUUAAGAGUGUUUUCUUGGGCUGGAAAGAUGGCCCAGUUGUUAAAGGCUAGGCUCACAACAAAAGCCAUGAGAGUGUUUUCUUUGGAAGAUGUGCAAAGUGAGAGGCACCAUGUAAUUCUAGCUGUACUACUACAAGGAGAUAGUUCAACUCUUCCCAGUCGGAGGAAUGGCUUGAUGGUCCCGUUGUCUAAUGAGAUGUCAAUGGCAUUAGUAGCUAGAACUCUGCCUGGAAUUUCCUUUAGUACUUACCAUGACAAGUUAGAAUCCUAAAAUUUAUGAAAUCGACUUUCUGAGGAUUUUUGUGUGUGUGUGUGUGUGUGUGUGUGUGUGUGUGUGUGUGUGUUUGUCUGAAAGAGUCCUCUAUGUCGUGUUAAUACAUGUUCAAUUCAUGUUGAGCCUUAUCUGAGACUGAAGACUUCCUUCCCCACUCACUGGGUUUGUUUUGCGUUGGAAAGUGACACAGCUGUUCUAAACCCCAUUUUUUGUUGGCCUACAGAAUUUAUUUUAUGCAUCUAUCUUGUGUUACAUUCAUUUCGUCUCUUCACACAGAUUACAGAAAGCAUCCAUGAUGGUUUGUACCUAUCAGAUUUCAUUGCUCUUACUUCACUGUGACGGCACAGAAAACAGAAGUCCAUGCCGAUGGGUUAUAUGGCUCUUCUUUAACUUUGUUUGAUAUGUAGAUUACAGUGUUGGUUUGAGGCUCAUUGGUGAUGUGUAGAACACGUAUGUAUACGAGCGCAUACUUUAUAAAAACCCCACUGUCUUUCCUUAUCUUCCGGAGUAGGCAUGCUUUCUCUUCAGUCUGCUUGAAACAAAUAUGCGAAGUGUUGCUGGGAAAUCCCAGGGAAGUUAGCUGGGUUAAUUACAUCUUUUUUCUCUGAGGUGUUUUAUGGCCUCCUGCCA
Microtus oregoni (creeping vole) is the source of this 4643-nucleotide RNA transcript. It is a transcript of the gene named stonin 1, with no coding region annotated. NCBI's taxonomy places the organism in Eukaryota, Metazoa, Chordata, Mammalia, Rodentia, Cricetidae. The record is from RefSeq and is a predicted model, not a curated record. The transcript has 5 exons.